Physcomitrium patens is the source of this 3837-nucleotide non-coding RNA. NCBI's taxonomy places the organism in Eukaryota, Viridiplantae, Streptophyta, Bryopsida, Funariales, Funariaceae. The record is from RefSeq and is a predicted model, not a curated record.
AACUUGGGCCACGCCACCUCGCUCGAAGCUUAAAUCUAGAAAGCUCAAACUGGAAGCCAUAAGCUUCAAAAUUCGCACAACGGCGAAUUAACGUCAAUGCACAAGCCUGUCAAUCGAUCGCCUCUGCUCUGAGUGCCUUCAGUCUAGAUGCUCACUAAGAAGUAUAGUGCCUGGAGAACAGGUAGUCGUUCAACCAGCUAUGGCAUUUUAGUUCGAUGUGGGUAGGCCGCUUAAGCUUCUGCCAUGAGUGCAUGUGAAGCGGGCACUAGCGGUGCAAAAAUGGUUCUUGCUGAUGGAGGUGUUGUCUGCAUUGAUGAGUUUUACACAAUGCAACCUGAAGACAGAUGCGUGCCUCUUUCCAGGCCUAUUCGUUUUAAAAAUCAAUAGGAUCUACUUUACUUCCGGACCAAGCUUUUGUGUAUCCGUCAUUCUGUACAUGAUAGAUAUAUGGCACAAAUUGUUGUCAUUUAUUCUGUAGAUCAUAUUCUGCAGGGUUGCUAUACACGAAGCCAUGGAGCAGCAAACAAUCUCUGUAGCAAAAGCUGGUAUAACUAAUGUACUGAACCCCCGGACUUCAGUACUAGCAGCUGCUAACCCUCCAUCGGGCCGCUAUGAUGAUCUGAAGACAGCACAAGAAAACAUCGAUUUGCAGAAAACGAUUUUGUCUCGAACAAACUUAAUUUUUAUAGCCAAGGAUGCACGAGAUUAUGCGAGAGACAUGAUUAGCCAUUAUCAUACACUUCUAUUGUGGAAAUUUACCGUUGUAGCUGAUCCAAUUUGCAACAAAACACUCUCGUAAGAAAAAUAACCACAUCGACGAGCUUUGUGUGCAUCCUAGAGAUUAACGUCAUCGACAAUUGGUUUUUUAUUUUUUGAAUCUGCAGCAAAUUGCACGGCAUAUUGUCAAUGUUUAUGCAACUGCUGAUUCAAUUGUAUGAGGCACAAAGGUCCAGGACAAGGAGAAUUGGCUUAGACGGUAUAUUGAAUACUCGAAAUCCCACUGCAGCCCUCGCCUAUCAGAUUCAACGGUGCAACUUCUCCAAAGUAACUAUGUCAAGAUUCGAUAGGUAGUAGAUAUGUGCUCUUUCCGAUGCUAUUCCCAAGUGUUUUUCAAGACACAUGUCGGUAGGUCUCCACCUCUUAUGGUUGCAUAUUCAAAUGGUUUUAUUGGAGGUGUUAAUUUUUAUCCUGGGACUACCUUACAGAAAAUGCGUCAACAAAAUGAUGAGAAUAAAGGCUCACCAGUACCAAUCACCGUUCGGCAACUGGAGGCUAUUAUCCGUAUCAGUGAGUCCUUAGAAAGGAUGCAAUUGUGAGUCCACAUUCCUUCUUCUGUAUCAGUUGGUUUGUCCAGCUGACAGUUCUGACUCAUUAGAUGCCCAUAUAUUUGGUUGAUAUUGCACUGCUAGAUGAUCUUACUUCCUAUCGACUGCCUUGCGGGUCAGAAGUGCCUUGUGUAGACGUUUCUAGACGCUUGGCCUCUGAUGAAGCGCAAUCCAGUGCUGAAGCCCAUCGAUUAGGCUGUGGACAGGACAUGGCAGCGGGGGCGGGGGCGUCCAUCUCGCGCGGGGCCCAGAAACACACGAAAAGCGCUGCGGUUGGGCCCCAGUCAAACUUAAAAAACAAGAAAUAUAUAGCUUGUUAAGAUGAAGGGCAAUUUUACAAUGAGGGGUGGAUUUGUUAUUCUUGAUAUUUCGGCAAAUUUCAGGGGCAUGUAUGAUAUUUUUCCAGAACAAUACCUAGAACCUUGGAAGUCUCUUGUAACACAUUACAUUUACCAUCUACAACUUCAGAAGGAUGGCGAUUGGGGCUGAGACGAAGGAUGGCAUUUCUCGGCCCAUCGCAUCAAACCACAAGGCUUGGAGUUAUGGAAGGCUAUUUGGGACGCAUUGGUCUCAUUGGACGCAUUGGACGCAUUGGUUAGAGAGAGCCUUGUUAAAACACCGUCCAAAACUUCAGCAGAACAGGGUCACCAACUUCUUUACCUGAACCCAGAAAUAUGCACAACAAACCAAAUCAAACUAGGCAAGGAAGGAAAUUCCAAAUACAAAAACUGGUCAAACAAGGAUAUCUUUUGGGUAGGCGACCUAUGGGACACCGGAAGCCAGACAUUCUAAAGUACGAGAAAUAUCGGGCAACAAACAAAAUCAUAGAGGAUCGAGUCGCUGAUGACACAAACACAACAAGACAUCCGGUGGAACUUGAACUGCGAAACUACUCCGGAUGUGGGCGAUUGGAUUACCACAGGCACGGGCGCACCGGUCUUUUACAUCACAGGACGCUCUUUACAAAGCUUGAAGGGCACACAUUAUUAUUACACGAGAGGCACAAGCCUCCUCACGGUAGUCUCACAAGGGACCUCCACACCCAAAUCCGCAAUCCAUGAAGCCAAAGUAGUUAUUAAAUCCCCCUUGGGAAAGUUCAUCGAAUAUAACUCAAAAAAAAGCCCCGAUCCCAGUGUCUCCGUAUAGACGCACCGAGGCAGAGAUGUACAAACUAACAAAUUUGAUCCACUCAAAUGGAACUGGCGGAAGCAAGGCUCACUACAAGAAAAACCCACUAUCCAACUAUACCACAAAACGCGAAUACUGUGUACUCCCCCAAAAGAAAGGGCAUCAACUUGGCUUCAACCACGCAAUGCAACAACAGGGUUUCACACACAACCAAUGUAAAAGCUAUUUUGUGCGGCUAUGGCAUCCAUGGAUGCUUUGCAAAAGCUUAGCCAUGGUUUGGUUGUUACUGGCAGAUAGACUUUCCAUUUGAUCCUGGAAAACUCGUCUCAACAUUCUAGGAUACUGUACUGUGUCCAGGACAGACGCUAGAGACUGCGGAAUACGCAUUUUCACAUAUUCUCUGGUAGCUAUAGCACAGGACCAAUUCACGCUGCUGAAACAGAAGGCGAAUCCGGACAAUUUAAACCUGACAUGGGAGUUUGUAUUACAUGGCAACAUGCACCGACCAACCCCACAAUAUCAACAAGACCAACCCUCCGAUGACUACUCAUGGGACGCCGGCAGCCCAUGCUCGUUAUCUAAACAUAUCCCCAAGGAUAUACUUCGAUGGGCUAUGUUAUGGUAUAUCUGGUAUCAACGAUGCAAACAUGACCUUCGCAACGGCCAGUUCCCCAUUGGAGUUCUAUUAUAUUAGGAAUGGCAAACCAUAGUUCAAGUUGGAAUGGGAGCAUGGGCUGAGCUACAAAAACAUUAAGCUCAACGCUCACAAGACAAACAAGCAGCUACAGAGAACAAAUUCCUGGCCAUAUGGACACAAUUAUUCUUGUUCUGUUCAGGACAAACCAGCCCGUUUUGGAAACGGCAACAACACCCAGAGUUCUUACCACACAUAUUUGCCAAUAGCCUCCACAACACGAGGAACACACCGAGGACACAAGACACCAACAUUACUCGCCAAAUCGACACUUCACCAAGCGCCCCUAAAGCCAUGCGAACUCCAACAAGCACGUCGGUACGACCUUCCCCUUCACCAACAGAACCACGAACCAAUCGUGAGCAACCAGGCACAGAUCGAGAAGAAACAAAUGAUCAACGGGCCCAAGCAAUUGCAGCAGAGAUCCUGGCACACAUAAUCCAGCACAUCCAAAACAAGCCGUCUGUCCACACAAAGACAGCCACGACACAGCAGGACACGCCACAACGACUCCAACAAACACCCUCUCACGAUGAACACAGACUCCCUCCCCUCACAACUCACCCAGGACCCACGCCAAGUCAACGCUCUUGACUCACAAGAACCCCGAUUCUCAAUAAACCAUCCCCAUUCCAUUGGAACAGGUCCCAAGUCCCAAAACCACGAGUUAGGGGACAAUCACGAGUCCCC